Molecule: ribosomal RNA, 504 nt
Filed under: uncultured bacterium
Lineage: Bacteria
Description: partial 16S ribosomal RNA
Rfam family: Bacterial small subunit ribosomal RNA
Source: RNAcentral
GUUGAACGCUGGCGGCAGGCCUAACACAUGCAAGUCGAGCGGUAGCACAGAGAGCUUGCUCUCGGGUGACGAGCGGCGGACGGGUGAGUAAUGUCUGGGAAACUGCCUGAUGGAGGGGGAUAACUACUGGAAACGGUAGCUAAUACUGCAUAACGUCGCAAGACCAAAGUGGGGGACCUUCGGGCCUCAUGCCAUCAGAUGUGCCCAGAUGGGAUUAGCUAGUAGGUGGGGUAACGGCUCACCUAGGCGACGAUCCCUAGCUGGUCUGAGAGGAUGACCAGCCACACUGGAACUGAGACACGGUCCAGACGCCUACGGGAGGCAGAGGUGGGGAAUAUUGAACAAUGGGCGCAAGCCUGAUGCAGCCAUGCCGCGUGUAUGAAGAAGGCCUUCGGGUUGUAAAGUACUUUCAGCGGGGAGGAAGGCGACAAGGUUAAUAACCUUGUCGAUUGACGUUACCCGCAGAAGAAGCACCGGCUAACUCCGUGCCAGCAGCCGCUGUAA